CGUCUAUAUACGUAUAGCAUAUCAAUAAGCGGAGGAAAAGAAACUAACAAGGAUUCCCUUAGUAACGGCGAGUGAAGCGGGAAGAGCUCAAAUUUGAAAUCUUCAAGGUUCUACCUUGACGAAUUGUAGUUUAAAGAAGUGUUUUCUGUUAGAUGAGUAUCAAAAGUUCCUUGGAAUGGGACAUCAUAGAGGGUGAGAAUCCCGUAUUUGGUUAUUCAUUCUAGCUUUGUGAUACACUUUCAAAGAGUCGGAUUGUUUGGGAAUGCAGUCCAAAAUGGGUGGUAAAUUUCAUCUAAAGCUAAAUAUUGGCGAGAGACCGAUAGCGAACAAGUACCGUGAGGGAAAGAUGAAAAGAACUUUGAAAAGAGAGUUAAACAGUACGUGAAAUUGUCAAAAGGGAAGCGUUUGACACCAGUGUUGUUUUCUCGAAAAUCAAUUAAAAAAGGCCGGAUUUUGUGUUGUAUUGACUUUAUCAGCUUUCUGCACUUUUUUCUUGUCUUUUUUAAUGCACUUUUCGUUUAACAAGUCAACAUCAAUUUCUUUUGUUGUAAAAGGGUCAUUGGAAGGUGGCUUUCUUUUCGGAGAAAGUGUUUAUAGCCUUUGAUCCCUGCAAUCGGAGAGACUGAGGUCUGCAGCGUAGACUCUUCGGGGUUAGAUACACUUUGUGCUAAGUUGUAGCUUUUCAUAGACAACUUGUUGACUAUGUUUAGUCUUGUAGCUUACUCGCUGGAUGCUAUUUUACCUACGCUUAGGAUGUUGACUGAUAUGUAGUCGU
RNAcentral lists this ribosomal RNA (775 nucleotides) under uncultured Neocallimastigales. RNAcentral describes it as "partial large subunit ribosomal RNA". It matches the Rfam family "Eukaryotic large subunit ribosomal RNA", at positions 26 to 643 of the family's 3401-position model. The record is from RNAcentral. Lineage: Eukaryota; Fungi; Neocallimastigomycota; Neocallimastigomycetes; Neocallimastigales.